RNAcentral lists this ribosomal RNA (492 nucleotides) under uncultured bacterium. RNAcentral describes it as "partial 16S ribosomal RNA". It matches the Rfam family "Bacterial small subunit ribosomal RNA", at positions 28 to 507 of the family's 1533-position model. The record is from RNAcentral.
GACGAACGCUGGCGGCGUGCUUAACACAUGCAAGUCGAACGGAAAGGCCCCCACUUUUUUGGUGGGGGUGCUCGAGUGGCGAACGGGUGAGUAACACGUGGGUGAUCUGCCCUGUACUUCGGGAUAAGCUUGGGAAACUGGGUCUAAUACCGGAUAGGACCAUGGUUUAGUGUCUCAUGGUGGAAAAAUUAUUGUUUUGGUGCAGGAUGAGCUCGCGGCCUAUCAGCUUGUUGGUGGGGUAAUGGCCUACCAAGGCGUCGACGGGUAGCCGGCCUGAGAGGGUGGACGGCCACAUUGGGACUGAGAUACGGCCCAGACGACGACGGGAGGCAGCAGUGGGGAAUAGUGCACAAUGGGCGCAAGCCUGAUGCAGCGACGCCGCGUGGGGGAUGACGGCCUUCGGGUGGUAAACUCAUUUCGUUAGGGACGAAGCCGCACCUUUUUGGGGUGUGGUGACGGUACCUUUGUGAAGAAGCACCGGCUAACUACGUG